This 976-nucleotide long non-coding RNA is filed under the name Homo sapiens (human). Its description in RNAcentral is "HSALNT0382476". The record is from RNAcentral. Lineage: Eukaryota; Metazoa; Chordata; Mammalia; Primates; Hominidae.
CACGAGAUCAGGAGUUUGAGACCAGCCUGGCCAAUAUGGGGGAAAUUUGGAAAAAGACACACAAACCCAGACACCAACAUCUGGAAACCUGGGAGAAAGCCAUGUGCAGACGAAGGCAGAAACUGGGGUAAUGCUUCUACAAGCUAAGGAACACCAAAUGCUCCUGCAAGCUAAGGAACGCCAAAGAUUGCCAGCAAACCACCAGAAGCUAGGGGAGAGGAAUGGCACAGAUUCUUCCUCACAGUCCACAGAAGGAACCAAACCUACCAACACCUUUAUAUGGGAUGUCUAGCCUCUAGAACUGUAAAAUAAUAAAUUUAUGUUUGGCAGUCCUGGGAAACUAAUACAAUCAGUAUUCCAGUUGGGAGGUAAUUUUGAUUUUAAAUUUUAUUAUUUAUUAUUUUAUUAUACCUUAUAUUAAGUAAUUGUCAUCAUCUUCAUUCCCAAAAAGUCUAUGAGAAACAAUAGUUUUUUUUGAUGCAGUCCUAAAUUAAGGUCAAGUGAGGAAAUUAGGAUCACUGAGCCUUCAGAAGUAGCAUUUUAACAAGCUUAAUCUUUUUUUUUUUUUUUUUUUACAGCCCAGAGGUCUUUUAUUUAUUUAUUAACACCUGUUAUGCCAUGAAUUCAUAGGGAAUAGGUUCCAGCAGCUCAGGCUCCUUCGCAUUGGUUCUCACAAAGUGUGCUUCUCUGGGUGGAGCAGGCUGGUGCUUCUGUUGAACCCAGGUACCUUUCUAUUUGGCUUCCUUCUUUUUCUGAUCAUUUUCCUUCAUGUGUUUCAGGAAACUAUCUCAGCUUUUAGAGUGCUUAAUGUGCUCAAUACGCACAUUAAUUCUCUUGGCAAGAAUCUUGCCCUUAACUUGUGUGUUUACAACAAUGCCAACAGCAUGCUGGGGGACAUUAUAGACUCUUCCAGUUUUGCCAUGGUAACACUUGUGGGGCAUUCCUUUUUGAACAGUACCCAUUCCCUUGAUGUCUA